CAGUCGAGCGAUGAAACUACUUCGGUAGUGAAUUAGCGGCGAACGGGUGAGGAACACGUGAGGAAUCUGCCUUCAACACUGGGAUAACUCCGGGAAACCGGGGCUAAUACCGGAUAUGAGCUCUGAUCGCAUGGUCGGGGCUGUAAAGUUUUUCGGUUGAAGAUGACCUCGCGGCCUAUCAGCUUGUUGGUGAGGUAAUGGCUCACCAAGGCGACGACGGGUAGCCGGCCUGAGAGGGCGACCGGCCACACUGGGACUGAGACACGGCCCAGACUCCUACGGGAGGCAGCAGUGGGGAAUAUUGGGCAAUGGAGGAAACUCUGACCCAGCGACGCCGCGUGCGGGAUGAAGGCCUUCGGGUUGUAAACCGCUUUCAGUAGGGAAGAAGCGAAAGUGACGGUACCUACAGAAGAAGCACCGGCUAACUAUGUGCCAGCAGCCGCGGUAAUACAUAGGGUGCAAGCGUUGUCCGGAAUUAUUGGGCGUAAAGAGCUCGUAGGUGGUUUGAUACGUCGGGUGUGAAAUUCAGGGGCUCAACCCCUGACCUGCAUUCGAUACGGUCAAGCUAGAGUUUGGUAGGGGAGACUGGAAUUCCUGGUGUAGCGGUGGAAUGCGCAGAUAUCAGGAGGAACACCGAUGGCGAAGGCAGGUCUCUGGGCCAAUACUGACACUGAGGAGCGAAAGCGUGGGGAGCGAACAGGAUUAGAUACCCUGGUAGUCCACGCCGUAAACGGUGGGCGCUAGUUGUGCGAACCUUCCACGGUUUGUGCGACGCAGCCAACGCAUUAAGCGCCCCGCCUGGGGAGUACGAUCGCAAGAUUAUAACUCAAAGGAAUUGACGGG
Molecule: ribosomal RNA, 843 nt
Filed under: uncultured bacterium
Lineage: Bacteria
Description: bacterial SSU rRNA
Rfam family: Bacterial small subunit ribosomal RNA
Source: RNAcentral